RNAcentral lists this long non-coding RNA (634 nucleotides) under Equus caballus (horse). RNAcentral describes it as "lncRNA (ENSECAG00000036433.2)". Lineage: Eukaryota; Metazoa; Chordata; Mammalia; Perissodactyla; Equidae. The record is from RNAcentral.
GCAGCGGCUGUGCGGCUUUUAUGUUUUCCUGUUAGAGUUCUUUUUAACUUAAUUAAGGCUUUAAUAGGAGUUUUAUUUCCCUUAGAGGCUUAUUGUGAAGUUUAAAGUGGCCUUAGAAAUAAGUACCCCAAAUACCUGUUCCAUCAAACAUCUUUUUGAACUUCCUAUUUUACUCAGAGGAAUAUUGCUAAUCAGAUAUGUGAGCUCUUUUGGAUGAAUCUGAACUUCACUCAAGGUAACAACCCCGAAGACUUCUAUAGUGGUUAUUUUGGUGGUUUCUUUGAAGUCUCUUAAGAAGAGAUGGGAGCAAAAUGUGAGUGAAAAGGGUGCUGAACUGGUGGCAGCUGCAAAGCUUGGCUUUCUGAGAAAGGUGCUCUCAUUUGAAGGCACCCUCAGCAUCUCUUCAGCUAGCGCCUGCCUUGCUGGCGGGCUGAACCCCAGGAAACACGCUGCACUCUCUGAGCACCUUGGAAAUUAAAGAAUUGCCAGCUUUUCUGCUUUGGGACAAAAAACAUUUGUGCUAAACAGCCGUUGCAGUUAUUUACCAUGAAAUACCUGGAUACUUUUCUUUUUUCCCAAGAGAAGAGAGAGCUCAUCUGAUUAUUUGCUUUCCUGGUCACAGUUUAGCUCCCAG